Molecule: ribosomal RNA, 253 nt
Filed under: uncultured bacterium
Lineage: Bacteria
Description: partial 16S ribosomal RNA
Rfam family: Bacterial small subunit ribosomal RNA
Source: RNAcentral
UACGUAGGGUGCGAGCGUUGUCCGGAAUUAUUGGGCGUAAAGAGCUUGUAGGCGGUUUGUCGCGUCUGCUGUGAAAAUCCGGGGCUCAACCCCGGACUUGCAGUGGGUACGGGCAGACUAGAGUGUGGUAGGGGAGACUGGAAUUCCUGGUGUAGCGGUGAAAUGCGCAGAUAUCAGGGGGAACACCGAUGGCGAAGGCAGGUCUCUGGGCCACUACUGACGCUGAGGAGCGAAAGCGUGGGGAGCGAACAGG